Molecule: non-coding RNA, 600 nt
Organism: Pelobates cultripes (western spadefoot toad)
Lineage: Eukaryota; Metazoa; Chordata; Amphibia; Anura; Pelobatidae
Source: the annotation of a GenBank genome assembly
CUGAUACAUAAUCAGGUUUACAGGGCUACCAUCAGAAAUUUUAGGGACAUUUUUACACAGCUGAAGACAUGGGUCCCCAGAGUCCACUCCCAAGUCAGACCACAUUUGAUUACGCACACUGGACCAGCUCAAAGUCUGCCCACCGUGCCCACACCCAUUCCACCACGAUCUCCCAGGCACUUAGAACUGCAAUCCAUUGCUCCUGUCCCGCCUGCUGGAUGUAUUGUGUGUGAGUAUAGGAGUUGUAGUGGUGGUGUGUGAAUGGAAUGUAUUUGUGCAGGGAAUGUAGCAAGUGUUUGCAGGGCAUGUAAAGUGUUUGUUUAGGGGAUCCGGUGUGUGUUAGCUUAUCUCCCAAGUAUCCCUAUUCAGGAGGGACAGUCCCUAUUUUGGUUCCUAAUCCCUUUGUUCCUCUUUUCUAUCCUAAUGUCCAUCUUUUCUAGAAGCUCCAUAUUGUUAGUGUGUGUGAGUAUAUAACAGAGCUCCAAAGCAAUAAUACUCACACUAAUAUGUCUUACAACUACAUUACAUGUGGUUAGAAAUCAGUCUGUGUAACUAAGAUAAAUUCUUCUUCUUCUAAAUUAUAUUUAGGUUGCUUAAUUU